This is a long non-coding RNA of Dermacentor silvarum, 895 nucleotides long. RefSeq lists it as uncharacterized. The transcript has 3 exons. Lineage: Eukaryota; Metazoa; Arthropoda; Arachnida; Ixodida; Ixodidae. The record is from RefSeq and is a predicted model, not a curated record.
UUCGCUCCGAAACUUUCUCGAAGCAGAUGAGCACUGGGGGUCAGCUACGCAAACCUCUGAGCCCCACAGCGCCGGAGCGAGAGUAAAGGAACAUCUACCGAACAGAGAGGGAAGGGCCGCCAGUGAAACCAAUCCAUCAGGAAAUAUUGGAGAGCGAAACCAACUAUUAAAUUGCCAGACAGAGGGCUACACAUGUAUUUCGAGGGAGGUAUGCAAGAACUGGAUGUUCAUCCCCUUUUUAUUCGGCUGCACUGGUGGAAAGGUGUGCUGCGAAAAGACCGAAGGCACCAGCUGCCUCAGAGGAGCCAAAUACCCUGGAAAAUGCGUGCCCAUGCACAGCACGGAUUACUGUAUCUCAAGAAUGCCCAGCAACGACUGCCCGCUUAGUCAAGUAUGCUGCCGAAAUAAUUAAAGCCAGGGGAGCGCAUCGAAUCGGCCGCCAUUCACCGACGAGAUUAAAGGAAGGUUGCACGGCACACGCCGAGCUACACAGAUAUGAUUGUUUUUCCUCAGUUCAAAAGCAGCGAGUGCAUCGAUGAACAGAAAGAAAGCGCUUAGUGCACUCAUCCUUCAAGCCGUAGUACUCGCAGGCAUCAAAGCGUCAUUGUAGCUUAUCAGAUAGGUAAUUAUUCAGACACUCUUCUAUACCACGGGCGAUAUUCUGACUAACUUUUGAAUUGAAUCGAAUUGAAUCGAAUUGAAUUGAAUUUAUUCUCCUUGAACAAAUGCACAAGGAAGGAGUAGCCACAAAAAGCUACUGAGAGUAGUAGCUUGACGAGGUGGCUGCCCCUUUACGCAGCAGCAGCAGUUAUUAAACAAUUUUCAUACAAAUGACUGCUUUUACACAUAUGUACAGACAAUGAUUGCACAAGAUAACAUAAGCAUUUUGCAAAAG